UACGAAGGGUGCAAGCGUUACUCGGAAUUACUGGGCGUAAAGCGUGCGUAGGUGGUUCGUUAAGUCCGAUGUGAAAGCCCUGGGCUCAACCUGGAGACGCCACCCGAUACUGCUAUAGCUAGAGUCCAGUAGGGGAGUGCGGAAUUCCCGGUGUAGCGGUGAAAUGCGCAGAUAUCGGGAGGAACACCAGCGGCGAAGGCGGCACUCUGGGCUGGUACUGACGCUCAGGAGCGAAAGCGUGGGGAGCAAACAGG
RNAcentral lists this ribosomal RNA (254 nucleotides) under uncultured bacterium. RNAcentral describes it as "partial 16S ribosomal RNA". It matches the Rfam family "Bacterial small subunit ribosomal RNA", at positions 524 to 776 of the family's 1533-position model. The record is from RNAcentral.